This 222-nucleotide ribosomal RNA is filed under the name uncultured Smithella sp. RNAcentral describes it as "partial 16S ribosomal RNA". It matches the Rfam family "Bacterial small subunit ribosomal RNA", at positions 1161 to 1382 of the family's 1533-position model. Lineage: Bacteria; Pseudomonadati; Thermodesulfobacteriota; Syntrophia; Syntrophales; Smithellaceae. The record is from RNAcentral.
GCCGGGAGGAAGGUGGGGAUGACGUCAAGUCCUCAUGGCCUUUAUGCCCAGGGCUACACACGUGCUACAAUGGGUGGUACAAAGAGAUGCCAACUCGCGAGAGCGCGCCAAUCUCAGAAAGCCAUCCUCAGUUCGGAUUGGAGUCUGCAACUCGACUCCAUGAAGUUGGAAUCGCUAGUAAUCGCGGAUCAGCACGCCGCGGUGAAUACGUUCCCGGGCCUU